Molecule: transfer RNA, 67 nt
Filed under: Cancer pagurus (edible crab)
Lineage: Eukaryota; Metazoa; Arthropoda; Malacostraca; Decapoda; Cancridae
Description: tRNA-Val
Source: RNAcentral
ACUAUCUUGGCAGAUAAUAUGCUCUAGAUUUAGGAUUUAGUUAAAUAGAAACUUUCUAUAGGUAGUA